RNAcentral lists this ribosomal RNA (254 nucleotides) under uncultured bacterium. RNAcentral's name for it is "partial 16S ribosomal RNA". It matches the Rfam family "Bacterial small subunit ribosomal RNA", at positions 524 to 776 of the family's 1533-position model. The record is from RNAcentral.
UACGAAGGGGGGCUAGCGUUGCUCGGAAUUACUGGGCGUAAAGGGCGCGUAGGCGGGUCGUUAAGUUGGGGGUGAAAGCCCAGGGCUCAACCCUGGAAUUGCCUUCAAUACUGGCGACCUUGAGUAUGGCAGAGGUGUGUGGAACUCCGAGUGUAGAGGUGAAAUUCGUAGAUAUUCGGAAGAACACCAGUGGCGAAGGCGACACACUGGGCCAUUACUGACGCUGAGGCGCGAAAGCGUGGGGAGCAAACAGG